This 486-nucleotide ribosomal RNA is filed under the name uncultured Pseudomonas sp. Its description in RNAcentral is "bacterial SSU rRNA". It matches the Rfam family "Bacterial small subunit ribosomal RNA", at positions 30 to 507 of the family's 1533-position model. Lineage: Bacteria; Pseudomonadati; Pseudomonadota; Gammaproteobacteria; Pseudomonadales; Pseudomonadaceae. The record is from RNAcentral.
AUUGAACGCUGGCGGCAGGCCUAACACAUGCAAGUCGAGCGGUAGAGAGAAGCUUGCUUCUCUUGAGAGCGGCGGACGGGUGAGUAAUGCCUAGGAAUCUGCCUGGUAGUGGGGGAUAACGUUCGGAAACGGACGCGUAAUACCGCAUACGUCCUACGGGAGAAAGCAGGGGACCUUCGGGCCUUGCGCUAUCAGAUGAGCCUAGGUCGGAUUAGCUAGUUGGUGAGGUAAUGGCUCACCAAGGCGACGAUCCGUAACUGGUCUGAGAGGAUGAUCAGUCACACUGGAACUGAGACACGGUCCAGACUCCUACGGGAGGCAGCAGUGGGGAAUAUUGGACAAUGGGCGAAAGCCUGAUCCAGCCAUGCCGCGUGUGUGAAGAAGGUCUUCGGAUUGUAAAGCACUUUAAGUUGGGAGGAAGGGCAGUUACCUAAUACGUGAUUGUUUUUGACGUUACCGACAGAAUAAGCACCGGCUAACUCUGUG